Molecule: transfer RNA, 74 nt
Rfam family: tRNA
About the family: Transfer RNA (tRNA) molecules are approximately 80 nucleotides in length. Their secondary structure includes four short double-helical elements and three loops (D, anti-codon, and T loops).
CGGUGUGUAGCGCAGCCUGGUAGCGCACUUGCUUCGGGAGCAAGGGGUCGGAGGUUCAAAUCCUCUCACACCGA